UCUUCGGUAGUAUAGUGGUCAGUGUCCCCGCCUGUCACGCCUGUCACGCCUGUCACGCCGGGGACGGGAGACCGGGGUUCGAUUCCCCGCCGGAGAG
Molecule: transfer RNA, 97 nt
Filed under: Heliconius melpomene (postman butterfly)
Lineage: Eukaryota; Metazoa; Arthropoda; Insecta; Lepidoptera; Nymphalidae
Description: tRNA HMEL014435
Rfam family: tRNA
About the family: Transfer RNA (tRNA) molecules are approximately 80 nucleotides in length.
Source: RNAcentral